This 982-nucleotide ribosomal RNA is filed under the name Staphylococcus aureus. RNAcentral's name for it is "partial 23S ribosomal RNA". It matches the Rfam family "Bacterial large subunit ribosomal RNA", at positions 745 to 1727 of the family's 2925-position model. The record is from RNAcentral. Lineage: Bacteria; Bacillati; Bacillota; Bacilli; Caryophanales; Staphylococcaceae.
UUGAAGUUCAGGUAACACUGAAUGGAGGACCGAACCGACUUACGUUGAAAAGUGAGCGGAUGAACUGAGGGUAGCGGAGAAAUUCCAAUCGAACCUGGAGAUAGCUGGUUCUCUCCGAAAUAGCUUUAGGGCUAGCCUCAAGUGAUGAUUAUUGGAGGUAGAGCACUGUUUGGACGAGGGGCCCCUCUCGGGUUACCGAAUUCAGACAAACUCCGAAUGCCAAUUAAUUUAACUUGGGAGUCAGAACAUGGGUGAUAAGGUCCGUGUUCGAAAGGGAAACAGCCCAGACCACCAGCUAAGGUCCCAAAAUAUAUGUUAAGUGGAAAAGGAUGUGGCGUUGCCCAGACAACUAGGAUGUUGGCUUAGAAGCAGCCAUCAUUUAAAGAGUGCGUAAUAGCUCACUAGUCGAGUGACACUGCGCCGAAAAUGUACCGGGGCUAAACAUAUUACCGAAGCUGUGGAUUGUCCUUUGGACAAUGGUAGGAGAGCGUUCUAAGGGCGUUGAAGCAUGAUCGUAAGGACAUGUGGAGCGCUUAGAAGUGAGAAUGCCGGUGUGAGUAGCGAAAGACGGGUGAGAAUCCCGUCCACCGAUUGACUAAGGUUUCCAGAGGAAGGCUCGUCCGCUCUGGGUUAGUCGGGUCCUAAGCUGAGGCCGACAGGCGUAGGCGAUGGAUAACAGGUUGAUAUUCCUGUACCACCUAUAAUCGUUUUAAUCGAUGGGGGGACGCAGUAGGAUAGGCGAAGCGUGCGAUUGGAUUGCACGUCUAAGCAGUAAGGCUGAGUAUUAGGCAAAUCCGGUACUCGUUAAGGCUGAGCUGUGAUGGGGAGAAGACAUUGUGUCUUCGAGUCGUUGAUUUCACACUGCCGAGAAAAGCCUCUAGAUAGAAAAUAGGUGCCCGUACCGCAAACCGACACAGGUAGUCAAGAUGAGAAUUCUAAGGUGAGCGAGCGAACUCUCGUUAAGGAACUCGGCAAAAUGACC